CCCGACUCCUUUAAUUUCUUAAGUCCUUCCCUGCCUCCUGUCCCCUCCAUCCCCAGCAUGUUUCAAUGCUGGGCCCCUCUCCAGUUACAGGGAUGGAGACGGACGGGUUGUGCUGUGUGUAGAUUUUCGGAAGGCAGGUCAAAGAACUGAAGUUGGUUUCUUAGGAGUAAACCGGCUCUGCCGAGACUCCACACUAAGCCCUUGCACCAGAGGACCAGCCACAACAAAGCUGCUUCAGCAGGCAGCUUGUUUUCUUAGGAAGGCUGCUUACUGGCCUUGUCACAAGGUUUGCUGUGACAUUUGCAUUAGAAUACUGCAUCCAGGCCGGACAAGAGGCAGUUGGCUUCAGUUCUAUCCCAAGAGAUUUACCAGGACUGUCAAGGACCUCUCCUCCCGGGCCUGACUUUGAAGUCCCUACUACUGCACAGUAGGUGCUGCCCCAGGACUUUGCCACCAAGCUUUCUUCACUGUCAACAUGGCCUUUGGACUGGCCAGCGCAGCCAUCUACAGUGUGGCCUUGAACCCUGUCAGGUCUUUCAGUGAUUUUUCCACGGCUUCGUCCCAGCUUGCCACAGAACCCGGAGGCAUGAAGUCAUAAGUCUCCAUCUUUCCAAAGCUCCGAGAGCCCAGGGGGAGAGUGAGCAGAGCUUCCUGCCAGAUGUGCCAAGGGGCAAACCUGGGUCUAGACGGGGCCAGCGGCUUCUUACUGGGCCACUGCUCAAAACGAAUGGGCAUACCAAGAGCCACCAGAAAGAGGACAUCGUGGCUGCAUAUUCCUCCCACCAACCCCCAGCUGGAGAAUGCUGCUGCUCUCGUCGUAAUCCAGGAAGAGGAAGGAGAGAAACUCGCUGAACUCACCCACCACCCUCCCUGCCCAGGCAGCACUCACCCCAGCUUGCCAGGCUCCGAUUUGGAGAAAGCACUGGGUGUCACUUCAUCCUUUGGGACAGUCAGAAGGGAUGCUGGGAGAGACCACUAAAAGCAAAGGAAGAGGGCUUUUGAAACCUUGUAAUUUCCUCGUGACUUUGGGUGAGAUCCUGGAUGGCUCCUGGAUGAGGGUUGGUCACUGGAAAGACCAAGUGAUUACUAGAAACUUGGAAUUUUCAGCACGAUGCCCCAUUCUCUUAAGAAGGAAGGAGGACUGAAAUGGUGAUCAAUCAUGCCUGUGUGAUGAAGCCUCCAUAAAUCCCAAAAGUGCAGGGUUCAGAGAGCUUCCAGGCGGAUGAACACGGGAAGAUGCUGGGAGAGUGGUACUGCGCAGAGAGGACAUGGAAGCUCCACGUCCCUUCCCACACACUUUUCCCUAUCUCUCUCUUCCACCUGGCUGUUCAUCUGUAUCCUUUAUCACAUCCUUUUAUAAUAAACCAGCACACAUGAGUAAAUGUU
This is a long non-coding RNA of Equus quagga, 1386 nucleotides long. RefSeq lists it as uncharacterized. NCBI's taxonomy places the organism in Eukaryota, Metazoa, Chordata, Mammalia, Perissodactyla, Equidae. The transcript is spliced from 3 exons. The record is from RefSeq and is a predicted model, not a curated record.